RNAcentral lists this transfer RNA (69 nucleotides) under Acanthoscelides obtectus. Its description in RNAcentral is "tRNA-Glu". The record is from RNAcentral. Lineage: Eukaryota; Metazoa; Arthropoda; Insecta; Coleoptera; Chrysomelidae.
AUUUAUAUAGUUUAUAUAAAACAUUACAUUUUCAUUGUAAAAUUAGGAUAGGCCCUUUCCUUAUAAAUA